GAUUUUUUUUAAUUUUUUUAUAAUUUUCUAAGUGAUAUAUAAACAACGAUAGGAUAUCACCUUAAGACACAUCAUGUAGGAGACUCAUCGCCUCGAUCACACACAUAUACUGACAUAGUACAUCGUACUAUACGUACUUAUUUAAGCUAACAUCCAGGCCAGCUGGUACAUGCAGAGUUUUCAGAUCACAUAUAGGCUGUGUUUAGUUGCCGGCGUCCUCCGAUCCGUUACUUGAAAGCGCCAACGUCUUCCUCGUCUCCCUUCCGGCUGGCCCUGAAGUACUCCUUCGGGUUACCCUCGAACUUGUCGCGGGAGAUCAUCACCUUGCCGUCAAAGCCCGGCGCCUUCAUUGUCCGGGUCGUCGGCGGAUCAUCAUCUGCCGUCUUGUCCGGGUCUCCACUGCUCUCCCCAAUCGCCGACAGCAGGAACAAGGUGCCGGCGGCGGCGGCGGCGAUGAAGGCGGUGACGCCGAGGAUGCGGCGGCGGGUCGAAGGCUUGUCCGUCUUCUCCUUCUCCUUUACCUCGUUCCUCUUCAUCUCGCGGCAAGAGAGAGAGAGAGACAGAGAGAGAGUGGGGGGGGGGGACAGUGGGUAACUGGCUACGGAGAUUGGAGAGGCCUCAGAGCAUCAGGGCAGCUUUUGUAGUGAGCUCGCGAUGGGACCCACAUGGCCACAGCCAUCAUCACUACUCCAUCUGUCAUGCACUCUUCCGUAGUCUUUAAGUAAAGAGGGAUCUUAAUCUUUAAAAAUUAGUGUAGAGAGAUUUUACCGUACCGGAGGAAGUACAUGUAAAUACUAAUGGGCUCAUCUUUUGGUUUAUACUUAUAUUUAUCAGCUAAAAUUUAAAUUUUUAACCUUAAAUUUGGAGCUGAUUUUGAGGUUUUUUUAUCGAAGUUUAUUUUUUAGUUUUUAUUUUUAGAUCGCUAAGAACAUGUAUAUAAAAGUUUUAACCACAAAUUACUUUCCGUUUGCAAAUAUGCCGUUUCGCUUAUUCCGCGAAUAAGCGAAAUGAUGGCUCCGUAAAAUUUUGAUAUCUCGAGAUAUCUAAUAUUUGUAGGUAUCAAAUUUUAUAAUAGAAAAUAUCGUAUUGCCUGAUAUUUUCUUAAGAAUGAUAAAAUUACUGCAUCGCUCACAUUUCAAGAAAAUUUUACUUGGAAAAGAAUAAAGUUAAAGUGUCCCAUACUAUUACUUUUAUAAAGAAAGUAAAUAAGAGGAUAAAGAUAAACUUACUUUAGAACAACCUUUAGAAUUACUAACUUAUUUCAGGGUGUCGGGAUGGGAAUUCUUUUAGAAAUAAUACUCCCCCAUCCAUCUGAGUUGCUCGUAUUAUUUUUUGCAUUAUGACCAAAAAGAGCACUAACUUCUCUAUGAUUCAUUUAAUCUCACUUGUGAUUUCAGCCAAUCGAUCUCUUUUUUACAAGUUUUUAUUAAAAUAAUAUUAUUUCUAAAAACUUUUCUGGGGAAGGAGAUGGAAGGCCAAAGGGUUAAAGGUGAAAGCUUUUAGUCUUUCGCUGGACCCAGCUUGACUCCUCUCUCCACUAUGUGGUUUCUUCGUGGAAGAUGAAAAAGCUUUUCGUACGUGGCUGACUCAGCUAGACUCCUCUCCACGAUGACCCAUUAGACUGUGUUCUUGAGGGCAAGUUUUAUAAUAAAGGUGAUGGCCGCCUUUAAUUUUAUCCACGUCAUUUAUCCAUAAAAUUAAAACUAACUUAUAUAAAUGCAUUGCAUUUAAUACACUAGUCCCAAUACACUUACCACUAACACCAUUCUCAACCCAAUGACUAGGAUAGUAUCCAUAGCAUUAAAUAAGCUGCCACCUAGGAUGAAAAAUGAUAUGACAAGUGAAUAAAUAAGAAAAGAGAAAAAAAUCAUGGUUUUUACACAACAUUUAAGACAUCAUGUGAGAUAAGUAGCAUUAAAUCUAAGUAUGGAAUAGUGAUGUUUGCAUUGGAAGAGUAGUGUCUAGUAUUAGUUUCUUGAUGAUGUGGAGUUUGUGAAAACUAUGUAUAGUGUUUUGGGUUAGGAAUGUCCUAAUCAACCCCUUUCUUUUUCUCUUGUUUCUUAAAGUUUGUGUGGAGGUUGCCCCUUAUACGAGAGCAAGGUCAAUAGUGCAGCUAGUGGCAAGCUCCAAAAUUUUAUCAUGUCAAGGUAGGUAGAGGUGGCUCCUUCUUUCUCUCUUUUCUCUUCUCUUCUCUCCUCUCCUCCACAUCAUCAUUUAAGUAUACAUGACACUUUGGAGUUUGUGCUUAAAACCUUAUAGUACGUUGGAAACUAACUCCCCCAACACGCAAAACAUAACGAUAAAUUAACGCGUAAUUUAUUAAUUAUUAGUUAAAAAACUUGAAAAAUAAAUUAAUAUGAUUUUAAGUAAUUUUUUUAAUAUUUUUUAAAUCAAAUCAUUUAAUAGUUUGAGAAGCGUGUGUAUGAAAAAUGAGAGAACACAAAAGCCUUCUUCCUAAUAGCCAACUAAUGCCGCAUCAAUAAAAUGCAGAAAAUAGUCGCUUUGUGCAAUUUCUUUCGAAAGAGCCGAUACUAGGACUGAUCAAUCCUCCGCCUAACAAGGUUAGGGUAGGGCCGUAUAGGAUUUGUUCAGUAGUCCCAAUAUUUUAUUCCCAAAACUAUGUUUUUUUAACUCCUAAACUAAAUAUAGAAAGUAAGAAAACUAAUCUUUUUAAGAGAUGUCCUAAAUUUGAUUCCCUAUAAUGAAAAGUGGGCUCUCCCUUUAACUACCAACAGAGAAUUAGUUUUUUCUGCUCCUCCCCUACGUGCGCACCGCGUGGCUAGCUUAAUUUUUUCUCCCUACGCGCGCGAAAGAGCGAUUGGGAAAAAAUUCGCUCCUUAAAGUAGGAAACGAGAUAUCCGGAGUUGGGAACUUGGAUUAUUAGGAGACAGGUUAGGGAUUCUGUUGGAUACGAUUUUUAACCAAAUUUUCCUAAAUCUGAGGAUAGGGAAUAAAAUAAUAAUAAAGCUGUUGGUCAUGCUCUAACUUCUCCUUAAUCAUUUUCUUCACAUAUGUUUCCCAAACUGCUAAAUUGUAUAUUUUUUAUAAAAAGUUAUAUAGAAAAUUUGUUUUAAAAAAUCAUAUUAAUUCAUUUUUAAAGCUUUUUUAAGCUAAUACUUAAUUAAUCAUACAUUAAACAUCCACUUCGUUUAGAGUGUAACGGGGAAAGAGGGUUCCUAAUAGCAAGUCUAAUAAGCAGGCGAUUAGCCUAUAUAAGAGGGAAAUUAUUUUUUUUAGUGCUAAUACGAUCGUUUGAUGUAUUAUCAGCAGUUGGCAAACCGAUGGCAGCCUGAGCUUCUUCACGGCUGUUCUAUAUAUGAACCGAGCUGUUGACGUAUAAGCUGAAAUAGUGAUCGGGUUAGGGACGUUUUAACUUUCAGUCACAAAUUGACAAAUUAUGAUUGGCAAUUUGGCAUUGUACCCCUUGUGGAGACACUGUUGUAGGAUAGAAAUUCGCAAGCUAAGUCUGCUGUUGUUGUUAUUCACAUAAUUGUGAUUGGUGGGUUAUCUAAAAAGUAUUCGACACAAAACGGAGCCAAGCACAGUCAGAUUUUUCUCAAUCUCUAAUCCUUACCCAUAAUGACAAGAAUAGAGGGCCUCCACGUACAGACUUUCACGAUUAAUUAUAAACUAGUACAUACUUUACACUGGUGGAGAAACCCUUUGUAGUCCCGGUUCGUAACCCCCCUUUAGUCCCGGUUUCCAAACCGGGAGUACCAAUCCGGGACUAAAGAUCGCUAUCUUUAGUCCCGGGUGAAAUAACCGGGAGUAAAGAUCGAUCUUUAGUCCCGGUUGGUAACACCAACCGGGACUAAAGAUGGCUCAGCCACGUGGCCGGCUGAGCCAACCAACCGGGACUAAAGAUCGAGCUGAACUUUUUUUUUUUUUUGCAUGGCCCUGUUGCUGCAUGGUUUAUAUAUAUAUAUAUAUAUAUAUAUAUAUAUAUAUAUAUAUAUAUAUAUAUAUAUAUAUAUAUAUAUAUAUAUAUAGUAAAUUUGUUUGGUGCUCCAUGGUGCCCGGGCACCAUUGUUGAAAUUGAGUAUAUACCCAAUUCAAAUGAGUAUGAAACUUUUUUAAUUAUUUAGGUAUUAAUAUUAACUACUUUACUAACUAGUUGAAAGCAAGUUUGAACUGAAUUUGAACUUGUUUUUGUUAGAUUUUGAUUAUAGGUAUAUAGCAUCCAUACAUAUAAUUAGUUAGGUAUGUAAUCAUGGAUUGUAAAAUAAAGUUAAAUUUGAGUUGUUUUGUUGAUAGGUAUAGGUAUGAAUCGAAUUCUUAUAACUAGGUAUAUACUCACAAUUUGAAAAUUUUGAAAAAUUUGAGUGAUUUUGUGCAUUUGAAACCAUGGUGCCCGGGCACCAUGGUGCCCCAUAUGAGUGUCCUAUAUAUAUAUAUAUAUAUAUAUAUAUAUAUAUAUAUAUAUAUAUAUAUAUAUAUAUAUAUAUAUAUAUAUAUAAACCAUGUAUAUAUAUGUUUCAAUACAUAUAUAUGCAUACAUAUAUAUAUGUAUAUAUAUAUAUUAUAUUAUAUUAUAUGUAUAUACAUGCAUAAUAUAUAUGUAUUUAUACAUAUAAAUGUUAUGCAAAUGCAUAUGUAUAUAGAUAUAUAUAUGACCAAAAUAUAUUUACAUUAUAGAAAAUGUGUACACAUGCAUAUAGAAACAUAUGUAGUCAUGUAUUAAUUACAAUCCAUUAUAUGUCCUAGCUAGCUACGAUUUCGACGUAGUAGUAGUCGCUGCUAGCUCAGAAGCUACGGACCGGUGAAUUGUGUUUCCGUCGUAGUAGAAUUCACCCUUGGGAUCAAGGAUUUCUUCGUUGAUGAAUCCCAUGAGUUGUUCUUGAACCGCUGCGAUAAAUUCCUUGUGUGUGGUCAGGUUAUCCCUCAUGCGAAUAAACUAUAUGAAUGUAUGAAAUUGAUUAGUAAUUAAACAAGAAAUCGUUACGUAAUGAAAUUUUGAAUUUAUUUGUACGUACAUCGAGCUCUCUUGUGGUGAUGAUUUGGUCUGCAAGGCAGUGGCAAUACUCACACACGUAGUAGCCGCACAAGUUAGUUCCCUGCUUUUGCUUUGUGCACUACAAAUAAAUGACAAAUUAACGGCGUGAGAUCUAAUUAAUAUACAGUUGUAUGUAUUAAUUUGAAUCGGAGAAAUAUAAAUGUAGAGCAUGUGUACUCACAGGAAAUUUGAACUUCCGCCUAAGUCUUUCUCUCCAUUUACCGCGGACCAAAUGACGGAACCGAUACCAAGCCCUACAUGGAGUUUAAAGCUAUGAUUCGUAGUAGCAAUUAACAUAACAAGAUUUUCUUAAUUAACAGAGGAACUUAUGACGGUACCUGUCUAUAAGUUCGAAAACCUUGUCAAACGUAGACUCUUUUUUAUCCAUUGAGUCAUAUACGUUGACGGUGCAGGCCGACAGGUCGAAGAGUAAAAGCACCCAGUGGAAUCUGCAAUGUGCGUGGGAUGCAUUACAUAUGAAACACUUAGCAAGUUCGUACGGGAAUGAAAUUUGGUAUGUAGGAAGACAGUAAAAUUGAACUAACUCUGUGUUGUACGGCAACAGUAUGAACGUCUUGUAAUGCUGCGCCUUCAGGAGAUGGACGAGAUUGUCCUCUGUUUCUUGUGGAUAUUGGUCGAGCAUUGCGACGUUUACUCUCCGAGGGUCGAUGAAUCCAGUAUCGAAAACCCUCCGCCGUCGGGCCCUUUGAAUCUCCAUUCUACAACGAUAAAAGGGAGUAUUUUAUUUUAUAUAGUCUACUUAUAUACAAGGACCUAAUUAAUUAAAGGAGACGUAUAGUAAGAAGUCUAACUGAACGAUAUACUUACAAAAUCCAGCAACUCAUAAUAGAGACGUCGAGGGCGUCCAGCUGGUAUAGUUCGUAGAUUCCCCUGAAAUUGAUCCAGAGAAUGUCAUCUCCUUGCAAGAAGUCCGUGUCCCUGAUCCUCGCUCCGAUCAUCUCUCUACCGGUGGCGCUCAUCUCCAUGUACAGCUGAUGGAACUUGUACAUUUGUGUGGGUAGGGACUGCAGCAGCUCAGGCUUGACAAGCGGUUUACCGAGUUCGUACAUGUAUUUCACUUCCGCCUUUUCGAUUGGUGCGACUCCUAGCAAUUGAUCCGUAGUUAGACCGGUGUCAGUAAUAAAUUGUUCUAUCGUCAUUUCUUUACCGGUCACCAAUGGCUCGAUCUCCUGGUUUGGUUGCUCUCCAAGCUGAGGGACUGGUUUGGACUUUCCAGAAGAUGCUUUCUUCAGCGUUCGCUCAUAGUCCGAUAGCUUGAUGGCCUCCUUGACAGAUGCAGACAUACCCCUGAAGAAGUUCCUGACACUGGGGUCUAUAGGAAUCUUCUUUUCUGGACUUCGAGGCUUGAAUUGUCUCUUGACUUCUGAUGCAACGUAAGCGUCAAGCUCCUCUUGCGUGCAAUCGUACCCCGGGUCAUUGUUCUUGGCGGCGUCAACUUUCGCCUUCUUCGUUGCCCUUGUGUGGGCAGGCGAUGGAGCUGGGGGGGCCCUUGACUUUGAAGGUGCCGGAAGAGGAGCUUGCGGAGGAGUAGGUGUAGGAGCCCGAGGAGGAGUCGGUGCAGGAUCCUGAGGAGGAGUCGGUGCUGGAGCCUGAGGUGGAGACGGUGCUGGCGGAGCAUGAGGAGGAGACGGUGCAGGAUCCUGAGGAGGAGAUGGCGGAGCCGGAGGAGAUGGUGCACGAGACGCCGCUUGUCGCCCAGGGAGGAUGAUGUACCGCCUGCGCCAUAGAAUAAUGGCAUGGCUUGUGUCUCGUAGAUGCGUCUCACCGUCUCCUCCAGGGUAAUCCAGCUCGAGGUCCUCGUACGCGCCUUCGACCAACUCAACUUCGACCUUCGAGUAUCCUGCUGGAAUCGGCCUGCAGUGGUAAGUACCUGAAGGGUCCGUUGGGAUGGCCAUGCCCGACGCCACCUUCAUGUUGUGAGAGAUUAUUUAUUAGUAAUCAACAUAUAUAAGCAGCAACUAGCGGAAUGGCUAAAUCUUACCUUUAUUGAUAAGUUCUUGAAAGGAAUAUGCAGCUCACAUGAUGUCCGCUGAGUGAUGUCAUCAACGGGACAGGUCGAUUCGUCCUGUGUUUGCAUGGCGUCCAUGCUCUGUGAUCCUACCUGCCCCGUUGAGGCGCAGCUGCUACGGUUUCCUGACGGGCUCACCAUUGCAGGAGGAAUGGUCGGCUGGGGAUCAUGGGACCGAUGUGCGGCCAUGCGUUCAUCAACCUUCCUUGCCACCUCCUCUUGCAUGUUGAGUUCGUAGCUCGAUACCCGGAACUCUAGGUCUGCAAUCUUCGCCUCGGUAUCUCUCUUGCUCCUCAUCCGACUCCUGUACGUGUGGAUGUCCUCCUUGAAACCAAUCUUCCAAGGAAUCACCCCUUUCCCUCGUGUUCGUCCUGGAUGCUCUGGAGUCUGCAGGGCGAGUGUCAGAUCGUCCCUAUCUCUGUCUGGUCGGAACGUGCCCUGAGAGGAGGCUUCCACUGCAUCUGUUAGUCGUCGCGCAGCCUCUCGUAUCUGAUCGCCGAAGACCAGUGAGCCAUCAGCUGGGUUGAGCGUUCCACCGUGAGCAUAGUACCAGAACUUCAAUCGUUCCGGCCAAUUGGCUGUUGCCGGUUCGAUACCCCUCUCAAUCAAGCUAGCCUCCAUCUCCUCCCACUUCGGCAUCGCGACGCUAUAGCCUCCUGACCCCAAGUGGUGAUGGUACUUCUUCUUGGCGGCAUUUUCUUUGUUUCUUUCCAUCAUCGCCUGCCCUUGUUCACCUGUCUUAUAUGCAACGAACUCGUCCCAGUGAUCCCUUAGCUUUGGGAAUGUGUCGAAGUUCGGUGUCUGCCCCUUCAGUAUAUACUUCUGGUACAGAUCUCCCUUGAAGCUCUGAAACUGUUCUGCCAUUUUCUUCAGAGUCCACCUUUUCACUUUGUCCUCUGUACCCGCAGGAAGGGUGAAUGUCUCGAGCAUUGUGGUCCACAGCAUCUCUUUCUCCGAAUCUGGGACAAAGCUCUCAUGAUCUCCGCGUGCCCUUGUUCUUCGCCAGUACACCGUACUGACAGGCACGUUAUCCCGCACAACCCAACCGCUGUGACGUACAUAGUUCUUGGCGGCUUCGGCCGGGGCACUAGGACGUCCAUCUUCUUCCACUUCCGUUAUGAUGUGCCGACCCUCAAGCUUCUUCGCUGCACCUCGUUGCCCGCGUGCCCUCUUCUGUCCAACGGAGGGUUGACUACCACUAGCCUCCUCCUCCUGGUUCCCCUCCACAUCCCUUUCCACGUGCCCCUGCUGGUUCCCCUCCGCAUCCCUCUCCACGUUCCCUUCCUCGUUCAAGUACUGGUUUGGAUCCUCGUUCCCCUCUUCUUCAUUCCAGUACUAGCUGCUUCCCUCCGCGAUUGUAUCGUACAAUAUCUGUUCCUCAUCGUGGUCAGCCAUCUGUUGAUACAAGAAACAUCUGCUAAGUCACGAGACAUUUAUGUUUUAACAAUCUAAGUCAUGUAUGCUAAGUGUAAAUGUCGUACAUUAGAACCCUACACAACCUUACGUGCUAAGUCUAAUUACAAAUCGUGAUAUAAGCUAAGUCUAGGUGACGUAUAUUAUACAACCCUAGCUAGUAAAUAAUUAUAUACUAAGUCUAAUUACAAAUAAAAUAAUCUUAUAUUAAAACUCAAAUAAUAUUACAUGCUAAGACUAAAAUAGUCAUGUAUGCUAAGUGUUUCGUGCGUAUAUGCUAAGUCUAAUUAAGACUACAAUAGUCAAUUGCUACUUGUCGCACCACUUCCGUAGUCAAUAAUUACAUACUAAGUCUAAUUACAAAUAAAGUAAUCUUAUAUUAAAACUCAAAUAAUAUUACAUGCUAAGACUAAAAUAGUCAUGUAUGCUAAGUGUUUCGUGCGUAUAUGCUAAGUCUAAUUAAGACUACAAUAGUCAAUUGCUAGGAGUCGCACCAAUUCCGUAGUCAAUAAUGUCAUACUAAGUCUAAUUUGCAAUAAAAUAAUCUUAUAUUAAAACUCAAAUAAUAUUAGAACACUACACAAUCUUAUAUGAUAAGUCUAAUUACAGGUCUAAUAAUCUUAAUUAAUUGCAUUACAAAUAUAACAAUCAUUUAUAUUAUUACGUCACUUGCCUGCUCCAAUUCCUUCUAGGGCUAGCUCUUCCACUCAGGCUUGACGGACGACUCCGACAACACGUCUUUUCUGCAAGAUACAAAAAGAUGUAUUAGGAUAAAUGCGAAGUAACAUAUAUAUAUAUAUAUAUAUAUAUAUAUAUAUAUAUAUAUAUAUAUAUAUAUAUAUAUAUAUAUAUAUAUAUAGUAAAUUUGUUUGGUGCUCCAUGGUGUCCGGGCACCAUUGUUGAAAUUGAGUAUAUACCCAAUUCAAAUGAGUAUGAAACUUUUUCAAUUACUUAGGUAUUAACAUUAACUACUUUACUAACUAGUUUAAAGCAAGUUUGAACUGAAUUUGAACUUGUUUUUGUUAGAUUUUGAUUCNNNNNNNNNNNNNNNNNNNNNNNNNNNNNNNNNNNNNNNNNNNNNNNNNNNNNNNNNNNNNNNNNNNNNNNNNNNNNNNNNNNNNNNNNNNNNNNNNNNNAACGUGGAUCCACCAGAGCUGUGUGUCUUGUUAGCUGUUAGUUUUCACUUUUAUGUCAGCAACGCAACCAGACUUGUUCUUAGGAUCAUGAAUUACAAACUGCUCACUCGAGAAUUGAGAUAGUUUUCAUGAUAUAAUGGAAGCCAGAGUGCUACUGGUUUUGUGAAUCAGCAGGCGAAUCUGCGAAAACUCAAUUGGGAUAUCCUUUAGUUGAGACUGGCCAAGUUCUCUACACUCCAAUCCAUGAUGUAGUGCAUUGUACUAGUUGUUGCAUUGUGUUGAUGACUUGCUGUGAAAUCUUUAUCUCACUGAUAUCGAUUAUGCAUGUUAUUCUUUCGUGGAAGACUUCCUUUUUUUUUAUACGAGGUAUCAUGGAAAAGAAUUUUUGCAAAAAAAAAAAAAAACUUCUACUGGUGAGGGAACCGACCUCUUCUGGCUGAGUUCGCUUGCUGAGGUUCUCAACCUUUAACUCUCUCAAAACUCAAUAGGUCGGCCAAAUCACUCACCGAUUUGGCUUGUUGAUUUUUUUUAAUUUUUUUAUAAUUUUCUAAGUGAUAUAUAAACAACGAUAGGAUAUCACCUUAAGACACAUCAUGUAGGAGACUCAUCGCCUCGAUCACACACAUAUACUGACAUAGUACAUCGUACUAUACGUACUUAUUUAAGCUAACAUCCAGGCCAGCUGGUACAUGCAGAGUUUUCAGAUCACAUAUAGGCUGUGUUUAGUUGCCGGCGUCCUCCGAUCCGUUACUUGAAAGCGCCAACGUCUUCCUCGUCUCCCUUCCGGCUGGCCCUGAAGUACUCCUUCGGGUUACCCUCGAACUUGUCGCGGGAGAUCAUCACCUUGCCGUCAAAGCCCGGCGCCUUCAUUGUCCGGGUCGUCGGCGGAUCAUCAUCUGCCGUCUUGUCCGGGUCUCCACUGCUCUCCCCAAUCGCCGACAGCAGGAACAAGGUGCCGGCGGCGGCGGCGGCGAUGAAGGCGGUGACGCCGAGGAUGCGGCGGCGGGUCGAAGGCUUGUCCGUCUUCUCCUUCUCCUUUACCUCGUUCCUCUUCAUCUCGCGGCAAGAGAGAGAGAGAGACAGAGAGAGAGUGGGGGGGGGGGACAGUGGGUAACUGGCUACGGAGAUUGGAGAGGCCUCAGAGCAUCAGGGCAGCUUUUGUAGUGAGCUCGCGAUGGGACCCACAUGGCCACAGCCAUCAUCACU
This 10777-nucleotide long non-coding RNA is filed under the name Oryza sativa (Asian cultivated rice). Its description in RNAcentral is "long non-coding RNA (OSAT_LNC000215)". Lineage: Eukaryota; Viridiplantae; Streptophyta; Magnoliopsida; Poales; Poaceae. The record is from RNAcentral.